Callorhinchus milii (elephant shark) is the source of this 683-nucleotide long non-coding RNA. RefSeq lists it as uncharacterized. The record is from RefSeq and is a predicted model, not a curated record. NCBI's taxonomy places the organism in Eukaryota, Metazoa, Chordata, Chondrichthyes, Chimaeriformes, Callorhinchidae. The transcript is spliced from 2 exons.
UGCGAAGGAGCAAAGAGUAUUCAGAAGUCCUGCUACAGGCUUAGCUGAUAUCAUACACACAAAAGUUUGGCAGAUCUGAACGCCUGUCAAGCCAUUCCAAGAAGCAGAAGGAGAAUGGGCUGUACUACGAGUAAAGGUGGUGUGGUGGAUGGAUCUCACAAACCUGAAAGUUCCUCCGAUCAAGAACAACAAAAUCAGGAAUCUGCCACUGAAACCUCCCCUGAGGCAAACCAACAAUGUCAAACCAAUGAACAACCUACGGAUCAAACCAGUUAAAUGUGUAGCCACUCUAGGAUGGAACACCCAAGUGUGGCUUACCAUUGAGUGGCUUACCAAAGAAAAAGCAUCAGCUGUCUUCAUGACCAGAACGUAUGGAUGUGGCAAUACAGUGGACUCAACUUUUCAAAAUUGUUUGAACUCAAAUCAUCACAAAACUUUUGACAGCUUCUUCAAUUGAAAUUGAAUCAACAGCAGUAUACUUAAAGCAUGUUAAAGCAUCUUACAGUAUAUUUAAAGCAUGUUAAAAUGAGGUGUUUUAAAAUGAAAUAAUACUUUAUUGAUUAAAGCAGUUAAAAUUAAAGCAGUUUUAAAACAGUUAACACUAAAAUGCCCUUUAUAAUAAGGGUGGUCGUUUUGUCAGUAUUGGGUUUUAUUUGAAUUAAAUGAAAUAUCAAAAGCUUGAA